CAGCGUCUCUGAAAAUAAGCCCUGUACUACAUGGGAGCGCAAUGGCGGGAAAAUCCAGCUGACAUUUGUUUCCCUAGGGUUUACUUACAAAGUUCCCGUUUCUCAAUCCAGACAAUAAACCGAAGGCAAAAUACCACCAUUUUCUUUCAUUCCCUUUCUCCGAAUCCAUACAGAAAAAGAUGCCAACAUACAAAUUACGGGGAAUCGAUGUUGAUUUUCCAUUUGAGGCCUAUGAUUGCCAACUUGUUUACAUGGAGAAAGUUAUUGAAGCUCUCCAAAAGAGGUGUAACGCUCUUUUGGAGAGUCCUACUGGAACUGGGAAAACCUUAUGUCUUCUCUGUGCUACAUUGGCCUGGAGGAAGAGUUUGGGUGGUUUUUCAACUGGGAGUAGUCAAAUAAAAAGUCUAUUUUCUGGGAGCCAAUCUGAUGUGGGAUCAUCGAAAUCUCAGCCUGGCAACCUUCCAACUAUUGUCUAUACCUCACGUACUCACAGCCAACUCCGGCAAGUUGUUCAAGAGUUGAGAAGAAGCAACUACAGGCCCAAGAUGGUAGUUUUGGGAUCACGGGAGCAAUUGUGCAUACAUGAUGAAGUGAGCUUACUUCACGGGAAAGCUCAGACAAAUGCCUGCCGUGCCCUCUGCAGAAAGCGUCAGAAGCGUCAUUGCACACAUUUUCCUCGUGUUGCUGAAUAUAUGAAGAACAACCCUCAUAUUGGAGAUGAACCUCUUGACAUAGAGGACUUGGUGAAUAUUGGAAGAAGAUUUGGGCCAUGCCCAUAUUAUGUGUCACGAGAGCUCCACAAGGUUGUUGAUAUUUUAUUUGCACCUUACAACUAUCUUAUAGAUCGUGACUAUAGAAGAUCUCUUAACCUUGAGUGGCACAACAGCGUACUGAUAUUUGAUGAAGCUCACAACCUGGAAGGCAUAUGUGCUGAUGCAGCCUCUUUUGACUUGUCUUCUGGACUUCUGACGGCAUGCAUUUCUGAAGCGAAAAAUUGUGUUGACCUAGCUGUUGCGAGGCGAGAAGAAUCAAAUGAUAAAUCAAGGAAUCCAGAUAACUUUGCAAUCUUGAGAGCUCUUCUUUUGAAACUUCAGAAGCGAAUUGCUGAAGUUCCCAUUGAAUCCAAGGAACUUGGAUUUACCAAGCCUGGGCCUUACAUUUAUGAGCUACUUGCUGAUCUCAAUAUCACUCAUGACACUGCUUCUAAACUUAUUGAUAUAAUUGAGGAAGCUGCCGUGUUGCUUGAGGAAGAUAAGCAGCAGGAUACAAAGGGAAGUGGCUGCAGGCUGGAAAGCAUUGGUAACAUCCUUAAAAGUAUUUUCAGAGAUAAGGGCAAUAAUCAUGCUGAUUAUUAUCGUGUUCAUGUGCAAGAGGCUGAGGUAAAUGCUACAGAUAUCUUCAGAGGUAAGACAUCCAGGAUACUCAGUUGGUGGUGCUUCAAUCCAGGAAUUGCUAUGCAAGAGUUCUCCAAAAUGGGUGUUGCAUCUAUUGUGUUGACAUCUGGUACAUUAUCUCCCUUGGAUUCAUUUGCACAAGAAUUGAAAUUAGAUUUUCCUGUUCGGUUGGAAAAUCCUCAUGUAAUAUCCUCAGAUCAGAUAUGGGCAGGAGUUGUCCCACUUGGUCCAUCAGGUCGCUCCUUCAAUUCAUCUUACCGGAAUCGUGAUUCUCCAGAAUACAAACAAGAACUUGGGAAUGCUAUUGUCAAUUUUGCUCGAAUUGUACCUGAUGGACUGCUUGUUUUCUUUCCAUCUUACUACCUUUUGGACCAGUGCAUUAGUUAUUGGAAAAACAUGGGUAAUGCAAAUUCAAGUACAGUAUGGGAAAGAAUAUGCAAAUUUAAGAAACCUGUUAUUGAACCUAGGCAAUCUUCACUGUUUCCUCUGGCAAUUGAGGACUAUAUGAGUAAAUUGAAGGACACUUCAACAUCCGGUGCAGUAUUUUUUGCUGUUUGUCGUGGCAAGGUCAGUGAGGGAUUAGAUUUUGCUGACUAUGCUGGAAGGGCUGUAGUCAUCACUGGGAUGCCAUUUGCCACAAGGACAGACCCUAAGGUUCGUCUCAAACGUGAGUACUUGGACCUACAGACACAAUCACCCAGGGAAGGAUGUAAGAUGCUUAAGUUGUUAACUGGAGAAGAGUGGUAUAAUCAACAAGCAUCAAGAGCUGUAAAUCAGGCAGUCGGACGUGUUAUCCGCCACCGCCAGGAUUAUGGGGCGAUCAUCUUUUGUGAUGAAAGGUUUGCUCAUCCAAAUCGUCAGUCUCAAAUAUCACUUUGGAUACAGCCUCAUAUUAAGUGUUACACCAAAUUUGGGGAUGUUGUUUUUACGCUGACUCGUUUUUUCCGAGAUGGAGGAAGCCGUAGUCCUACAAAGCUGAAAUUUGCAGAUCAUGAAAAAAAGGAUCUAAGUCCAAGUUCUGCUACAAAAACAGUUCCAGUUGAGGACAUCAAGGAAUCUUCAUCAGGAAGUAGAAGAGAGAUACAAACUGCUCAGCCUCUAGACAAAUCUUACCUGAAACUGUUACCUGAUUUGUCUACAUCAAUGGAACAAACUCACUCCGAAGACAAAUUGUCUUCUCAUUUUGAAGUUAAAAGCAGCAACAACUCAAGCCAGCUGGGACGCAUUCUUCCUGCCAGUCUCUCAUGUUUCACUCCUUGUAUGUAUAUGAAAAAGUUGAAGCGAUCAAGUGAUCUAAUGGUUAAUGAGAAAAAGUUGUCAAUUACUGGGACGGGAAAAAUGCAAUAUCAGAAUCAUGAUGUGAUUGAUUCGACUGGUGAUCUUUUAUUGGAUAGGCAACAAAGAGAAGAGCAACAUUUAGAGUCUUGUUCUAGCAAGAAACGCAGAGUACUACCCAUAGAGCUUGACACGUUGCAGCAUGAUAAAAGUUCCAAUAAUUAUGCAUCAGAUGCCCAAAGAUCAGGGCCAAGUGACCUUCCUUUCAUAGUCAGUUCAGUGAAACAUGAGAAACUACAGAUUUCUGGUGCUAGAAGUGCGCUGAAUGCUAAAGUUCAUUUGCUGCAUAAGGAUGAUGGAGCUGCAGGUGUUCACUUUAGUGCUGAACCAUGUGGUGCCGAGGAAACUAAAGGUUCUGCCUUUCUGAUUCAGGUGAAGUUAAGGAGAAACUUAGUCCUACAGAAUAUAAAGAAUUUGUGGGGUUUAUGAAGGCAAUGAAGUCCAAAGUGAUGAAGAUUGGUAAUGUUCUGCAAUCCAUUGUGGGAUUAUUUUCAGGACCAGAAAGGCUUCCUCUUCUUGAAAGAUUCAAGGAUUACGUGCCUGCAAAGUAUCAAUCUUUAUAUGAGCAGUACAUUGAAACAAGUACAGAAAUGCCUGACAAUCAAAGGAACUAAACUUAUCUUGUCCGAACAGUUGUUAGGUAGGGAUGCCAUUCUUCAAUUUUUGUGAUUGGUCUGGAUGGAAAUGAGCUUUUCUAGAGCAAUGAUCUCCUGGAGUGUCAGAAAGAGAAGAAUUGAGAUAAAACGUUGUGGAGGGUUUGUGUGAAGUAUAUCGCAACUUUUGACAAAUAUCAGAAAAUGUUUGCCUGCGUAACCAAGCAGCUAAGUGUUCUUUCAUGUCUGGAGGAAAGUAACUUUCUCAACAUGAGGGCAAUGUUGCAUUUGCAAACUCUUAUUCCCGUAUUAUUCUACUGAGAUUAUGAAGGAUUACUGGAUUAGACUUGGUCACAGCUUACUUCUUGUGGAAAACAAAAUCAAGCAAACGGAAAUAGAGUGAAACUGGGAAUUUUGUUGGAGAGAUGAGAUAUAAAGGCAACCUAAGUUUUUGCUUCCUGAUUUAUAUGGCCUUGACAGUGCAUCAGCAAGAGCCUACAAGAUGGUCGAUUAGUUAUUGGAAAUGACACUAGUUACUGCACCUAUGGUGCCCCUGAGAUUUACAUUCAUGUGUAGAUAUUAAAAUAGAACUGAUUUACAAGGUAUGAGGUUCCAUUUGAUGGAAAGCAUAUGAGGUGCCUAUUAAUUACUUACUAUAUAUUGUUCCUAAAAUUUUCAGUUUAAGUCGAGUGGCUUCUGAUUCUUAA
Molecule: RNA transcript, 4029 nt
Organism: Theobroma cacao (cacao)
Lineage: Eukaryota; Viridiplantae; Streptophyta; Magnoliopsida; Malvales; Malvaceae
Gene name: RAD3-like DNA-binding helicase protein
Source: RefSeq, a predicted model, not a curated record